CCAGUUGAUGAUGAUGAUCUAAUCUCAUAUAUUGUUGGUGGAUUGAAUCCUGUCUUCACCCCUUUUAUCACAUCUCUAGCUUUGCUACCCGAGACCAAUCGAUUACCUUUGAUGCUUUUCAAGCGGAACUACUUAAUUUUGAGC
RNAcentral lists this small nucleolar RNA (144 nucleotides) under Olea europaea subsp. europaea. RNAcentral's name for it is "Small nucleolar RNA Z247". It matches the Rfam family "Small nucleolar RNA Z247". Rfam says of the family: Z247 is a member of the C/D class of snoRNA which contain the C (UGAUGA) and D (CUGA) box motifs. Lineage: Eukaryota; Viridiplantae; Streptophyta; Magnoliopsida; Lamiales; Oleaceae. The record is from Rfam by way of RNAcentral.